AGUCGACGAAGAAGGUUAGAAUGAGAGCUUCGGCAGGAUUUCUUUCCAUCUUAGUGGCGGACGGGUGAGUAACGUGUGGGCAACCUGCCCUGUACUGGGGAAUAAUCAUUGGAAACGAUGACUAAUACCGCAUGUGGUCCUCGGAAGGCAUCUUCUGAGGAAGAAAGGAUUUAUUCGGUACAGGAUGGGCCCGCAUCUGAUUAGCUAGUUGGUGAGAUAACAGCCCACCAAGGCGACGAUCAGUAGCCGACCUGAGAGGGUGAUCGGCCACAUUGGGACUGAGACACGGCCCAAACUCCUACGGGAGGCAGCAGUGGGGAAUAUUGCACAAUGGGCGAAAGCCUGAUGCAGCAACGCCGCGUGAAGGAUGAAGGGUUUCGGCUCGUAAACUUCUAUCAAUAGGGAAGAAACAAAUGACGGUACCUAAAUAAGAAGCCCCGGCUAACUACGUGCCAGCAGCCGCGGUAAUACGUAGGGGGCAAGCGUUAUCCGGAAUUACUGGGUGUAAAGGGAGCGUAGGCGGCAUGGUAAGCCAGAUGUGAAAGCCUUGGGCUUAACCCGAGGAUUGCAUUUGGAACUAUCAAGCUAGAGUACAGGAGAGGAAAGCGGAAUUCCUAGUGUAGCGGUGAAAUGCGUAGAUAUUAGGAAGAACACCAGUGGCGAAGGCGGCUUUCUGGACUGAAACUGACGCUGAGGCUCGAAAGCGUGGGGAGCAAACAGGAUUAGAUACCCUGGUAGUCCACGCCGUANACGAUGAGUGCUAGGUGUNGGGGAGGAAUCCUCGGUGCCGCAGCUAACGCAAUAAGCACUCCACCUGGGGAGUACGACCGCAAGGUUGAAACUCAAAGGAAUUGACG
This 857-nucleotide ribosomal RNA is filed under the name uncultured bacterium. RNAcentral describes it as "bacterial SSU rRNA". It matches the Rfam family "Bacterial small subunit ribosomal RNA", at positions 60 to 915 of the family's 1533-position model. The record is from RNAcentral.